CCUACGGGGGACAGCAGUGAGGAAUAUUGGUCAAUGGGCUUACGCCUGAACCAGCCAAGUCGCGUGAGGGAUGACUGCCCUAUGGGUUGUAAACCUCUUUUGUCAGGGAGUAAUUGGCUCUACGUGUAGCGUUAUCGAGAGUACCUGUAGAUAAAGCAUCGGCUAACUCCGUGCCAGCAGCCGCGGUAAUACGGAGGAUGGGAGCGUUAUCCGGAUUUAUUGGGUUUAAGGGGUGCGUAGGCGGAAUGCCAAGUCAGCGGGAAAAUCGCGGGGCUCAACCUCGCUCCGCCGUUGAAACUGGCGUUCUUGAGUGGGCUAGAAGUAUGCGGAAUGCGUGGUGUAGCGGUGAAAUGCAUAGAUAUCACGCAGAACUCCGAUUGCGAAGGCAGCAUACCGGCGCCCAACUGACGCUGAAGCACGAAAGCGUGGGUAUCGAACAGGAUUAGAUACCCUAGUAGUC
RNAcentral lists this ribosomal RNA (460 nucleotides) under uncultured bacterium. Its description in RNAcentral is "partial 16S ribosomal RNA". It matches the Rfam family "Bacterial small subunit ribosomal RNA", at positions 338 to 795 of the family's 1533-position model. The record is from RNAcentral.